RNAcentral lists this ribosomal RNA (444 nucleotides) under uncultured bacterium. RNAcentral describes it as "SSU rRNA". It matches the Rfam family "Bacterial small subunit ribosomal RNA", at positions 369 to 808 of the family's 1533-position model. The record is from RNAcentral.
UCAUGGGCGCAGGCCUGAACCAGCCAAGUAGCGUGAAGGAUGACUGCCCUAUGNCAANGUAAACUUCNNAAUAUAAAGGAAUAAAGUCGGGUAUGUAUACNNCUUUGCAUGUACUUUAUGAAUAAGGAUCGGCUAACUCCGUGCCAGCAGCCGCGGUAAUACGGAGGAUCCGAGCGUUAUCCGGAUUUAUUGGGUUUAAAGGGAGCGUAGAUGGAUGUUUAAGUCAGUUGUGAAAGUUUGCGGCUCAACCGUAAAAUUGCAGUUGAUACUGGAUAUCUUGAGUGCAGUUGAGGCAGGCGGAAUUCGUGGUGUAGCGGUGAAAUGCUUAGAUAUCACGAAGAACUCCGAUUGCGAAGGCAGCCUGCUAAGCUGCAACUGACAUUGAGGCUCGAAAGUGUGGGUAUCAAACAGGAUUAGAUACCCUGGUAGUCCAAGGGCGAAUUC